Molecule: long non-coding RNA, 2305 nt
Organism: Ornithodoros turicata
Lineage: Eukaryota; Metazoa; Arthropoda; Arachnida; Ixodida; Argasidae
Exons: 4
Source: RefSeq, a predicted model, not a curated record
AUAAAACAGAUGGCCUCACUGAACAUGUUGGGGGAACGCACCGGGAGGGGUAUAUUACGUGAGUGUGUUCUGGCUAUCUAGUUUCAGUGCGGAUGGCACGGUAUAACGGCAUAACGGCGUCACAGGCUCCCAUUGCGAACACGCAUUCGGCCCUGAGGAGCCUCCAGGAAAGCGACGGAGGAAGGAGACUCACCGCUGUCGCUUCAGAAGUUACUCGAGCUAUCACACGCCCAACGUUAAAAAGCACGAGAAAAUUCACACCGAGGAGAGGCACUACGUGUGUCAACUGUGCUUCAGGGGAUUUUCGGAACAGAGCAACUUGUACGGGCAUUCGUCAAUCUCAGAGGAGUCGCACCUACUCGGAGUGAAAAGCCGGGCGUGUUGGUGUUGACCUUGCAUGGCGAACUGGUACUGGGAACGGGACAGAGCGAAGAGAACAACCUACUCAGUCUGCGGGAGAGCACUCGUACGGGAGGAUCAGACACAGUACCAUUCGGAUGAGGAACCAUAUGUCCAUAAUGAGUUAAAAGCAUCACCAGCGAGGAGAAGGAAGAUAAGUGCUCUACAAGCAGAUGCAGACCCAAUGACGAAUGCGUUCUACAAGUUUGAACCGCCGCGCACGCACGCCUCCAGCGCCUGCCGCCCAGGAGCCUCCAGGGAGGCACAGGUGCAGCUUCUGCGAUUACUCCAGUCCCUACAAGGCUCGCACUAGAGUCCACGAGAGAACACACACCGGGGAGAAACCCAGGAGAAGGCCAGUGUGCUCGAAAAGAUUUUCGCAAAAGGUCUCCCUGGACAAACAUCUGGUAGCGAUCCACAAGGGCCAGAGGAACUUCGCAUGCUCCGUCUGUGGGAGCGCCUUUUCCUCCAAGGACACCCUGGACAGACAUUCCAAAGAGGUGCACGAGGACCAGAGGAACUUCACAUGCUCCAUCUGCGGGUGGCCGUUCCACCGGAAGGACCAACUACGACGUCACCAGAGGGCACACCUUAAAUGAGGUGGAGCGGAUUAAGUCCGUGCGAGGGCACUGAGGCCUCUCCUCUGCAUCGAGAUGUCUUCUGCUGCUGACGUCAUUGGAAGAACUUUUCUGAUUAAGCUUCCUGUUCCUAGUACACCUUUCGUAUGGGCAUCUGUUGCAUGGUUAUUGAAGAGUACCCGUGUCACCUUUUCUGAUUAGAACAUUGAACAGUGGUUCACGGAACACGUCAGCACGAUAUUCCAUAUAUAUUUUGUGUCACCGUUUUUACAUUACUGCUUGUCACGUGCGCUCACUCGAUCUCAUCCCUGCUUUGUGCGCACAAUAUUGUGUCAGCAUCUCAAGUUUACCUCCAGGUACUUCCGGGUACGUCCGGGUACACUAAGCCUCUAGUGAACCGGACAGUAAAAUACUGAAUUAAAGAUAUUGCAUUCAAAUUCAAUGCCAUAUAUUUGCAUCUAAAUUAUAAAAAAAUAUCUGGAGCUGCGCGCAUAGCAUGAGAUGAAGCAAAAACUAACGAGUGUGAGUAAAUUUAGACAUAUACGAAAAAUUAAAACACAAAAAUACACAAAGAAAUACACAAAAAAGGAACAAGAAAAAAAAAGCAUGCAACUGCAUAGUUGCAAUAGCAUACAUUGUAGCAAAAAUAAGUGGGGAAUGGUAUAACUGUUAUCCACUAUAUGGAAAUGUUGCUUGAGUGCGCGAGGGUAUGUGGUCUCGGGGUUGAUAAUUCCGCGUAUAAUCCUGAUCCCUGCACAUUCAAGACAAUUUUUUUUAGUAUACCUGCCCUCUUAAUGCGUCGAAGUUAAUGUGGCAUUUCAGCGAGGAAGGUGCCUCAGUUAGUCUUUCUUCCAUCCCCAAGAAAGGCACCUGCCAAAAAAGGCCCCAAAAGCCCAGCAAUUGCUAAAGCUAUGUAUGAGCAAAAGCUCAUACACUCAGCUUGAAAUUGAAUUCAAAUAAUGGGUUUCACGGGAAACGGACGUAGGCAAGAUACAAUGCAUUCAUCUCGAGUUUGAUGAUUUUUUUAAAAAUUCGUUAGGGGUAGACUUGGGUGCUAUUUGCGCACGAGAAUUCGGGAAGAAAUCGGCGCUAUGAUCUCUGUUUGAUACGUCGUCGGGGAAUCUUCGAAUGAAACGAAGUGCACAGGAAGGCAAGCCGCUGCUGUGACACUGGGAGGAUAAACAAUAAUCUUCACAUUUCUGCUCGAAAUUGGGGCAGUGAAUGACUGCGGUAUUGAAACGCUUGUGCGAGCUCCACAAAAGUCUGUCCUUUUUUCUCCUGCAGCAGAGAAUAAUAAAAGGAGGACAAAUAGGUUGCCACAAAUAGCU